CAGCAGCCGCGGUAACACGGAGGGGGCUAGCGUUGUUCGGAAUUACUGGGCGUAAAGCGCACGUAGGCGGCUUUGUAAGUUAGAGGUGAAAGCCCGGGGCUCAACCCCGGAAUAGCCUUUAAGACUGCAUCGCUUGAACGUCGGAGAGGUGAGUGGAAUUCCGAGUGUAGAGGUGAAAUUCGUAGAUAUUCGGAAGAACACCAGUGGCGAAGGCGGCUCACUGGACGACUGUUGACGCUGAGGUGCGAAAGCGUGGGGAGCAAACAGGAUUAGAUACCCCAGUAGUCCCUGUCUCUUAUAA
RNAcentral lists this ribosomal RNA (301 nucleotides) under uncultured bacterium. RNAcentral describes it as "partial 16S ribosomal RNA". It matches the Rfam family "Bacterial small subunit ribosomal RNA", at positions 509 to 809 of the family's 1533-position model. The record is from RNAcentral.